RNAcentral lists this ribosomal RNA (1283 nucleotides) under uncultured bacterium. RNAcentral's name for it is "bacterial SSU rRNA". It matches the Rfam family "Bacterial small subunit ribosomal RNA", at positions 93 to 1399 of the family's 1533-position model. The record is from RNAcentral.
GAGUGGCGGACGGGUGAGUAACGCGUGGGUAACCUGCCCUGUACAGGGGGAUAACAGCUGGAAAACGGCUGCUAAUACCGCAUAAGCGCACGAGGAGACAUCUCCUUGUGUGAAAAACUCCGGUGGUAUAAGAUGGACCCGCGUCUGAUUAGCUGGUUGGUGAGGUAACGGCUUACCAAGGCAACGAUCAGUAGCCGACUUGAGAGAGUGAUCGGCCACAUUGGGACUGAGACACGGCCCAAACUCCUACGGGAGGUAGCAGUAGGGAAUAUUGCACAAUGGGGGAAACCCUGAUGCAGCGACGCCGCGUGAAGGAUGAAGUAUUUCGGUAUGUAAACUUCUAUCAGCAAGGAAGAAAAUGACGGUACUUGACUAAGAAGCCCCGGCUAAAUACGUGCCAGCAGCCGCGGUAAUACGUAGGGGGCGAGCGUUAUCCGGAUUCAUUGGGCGUAAAGCGCGCGUAGGCGGCCCGGCAGGCCGGGGGUCGAAGCGGGGGGCUCAACCCCCCGAAGCCCCCGGAACCUCCGCGGCUUGGGUCCGGUAGGGGAGGGUGGAACACCCGGUGUAGCGGUGGAAUGCGCAGAUAUCGGGUGGAACACCGGUGGCGAAGGCGGCCCUCUGGGCCGAGACCGACGCUGAGGCGCGAAAGCUGGGGGAGCGAACAGGAUUAGAUACCCUGGUAGUCCCAGCCGUAAACGAUGGAAGCGAGGUGUGGGGGGACGAUCCCCCCGUGCCGCAGCCAACGCAUUAAGCGUCCCGCCUGGGGAGUACGGCCGCAAGGCUAAAACUCAAAGGAAUUGACGGGGGCCCGCGCAAGCAGCGGAGCAUGUGGCUUAAUUCGAAGCAACGCGAAGAACCUUACCAGGGCUUGACAUGUGGGUGAAGCGGGGGAGACCCCGUGGCCGAGAGGAGCCCAUACAGGUGGUGCAUGGCUGUCGUCAGCUCGUGUCGUGAGAUGUUGGGUUAAGUCCCGCAACGAGCGCAACCCCCGCCGCGUGUUGCCAUCGGGUGAUGCCGGGAACCCACGCGGGACCGCCGCCGUCAAGGCGGAGGAGGGCGGGGACGACGUCAAGUCAUCAUGCCCCUUAUGCCCUGGGCUGCACACGUGCUACAAUGGCCGGUACAGAGGGAUGCCACCCCGCGAGGGGGAGCGGAUCCCGGAAAGCCGGCCCCAGUUCGGAUUGGGGGCUGCAACCCGCCCCCAUGAAGUCGGAGUUGCUAGUAAUCGCGGAUCAGCAUGCCGCGGUGAAUGCGUUCCCGGGCCUUGCACUAACGGCCCGUCA